UGUCAGCAAAAUUUGACUCAUCUAUAUAUGGCCUGCUUAUAAGGAAUGCGUGUCUAUGCAAAUAACGGAGAGCGGCGAGCUACUUAAGACGCACCACUUCAAUCUCAAAGGAAAAAUACACCGUGGAAAAAUGUCAACACAUUAUAUCUGCCUUUACCUUCUAACAACAUAUGUUAUGUAUGUUAAGACUGCAAUCAUUUUAAGGCAGUCUGAUCCACAGCAGAUGAAGCCAGGGGCAAGUGUACAGCUGAAAUGUGCUGUCGAAGGGUUUGAGUUAAGCAGCAGCAACAUGUACUGGAUUAGACAGGCGCCUGGAAAAGGUCUGGAAUGGCUAAUAUACUACUACAGCUCAUCUAGCAACAGCUAUGCGUCUUCAAUAAAAGGAAGAUUCACCGCUUCGAAAGACUCUUCAAACUUCUACAUGCACAUGACCGAUCUGAGAGUCGACGACACCGCAGUCUAUUACUGUGCUAGGGACACAGCGAGGGAGACGGAUUAGAAAGCCGCACAAAAACA
Polypterus senegalus (gray bichir) is the source of this 516-nucleotide non-coding RNA. The record is from the annotation of a RefSeq genome assembly. Lineage: Eukaryota; Metazoa; Chordata; Cladistia; Polypteriformes; Polypteridae.